AGAGUUUGAUCAUGGCUAUAGAAUCAACGCUGGCGGCGUGCCUAACACAUGCAAGUCGAACGCGAAAACCCCGCAAGGGGUUAUCAGAGUGGCGAACGGGUGAGUAACACGUGGGUGACCUACCUUCGAAUGGGGGAUAACGUCCCGAAAGGGACGCUAAUACCGCAUAACAUCCUGCUUUUGAAAAGGUGGAGAUCAAAGCUGGGGAUCGCAAGACCUGGCGUUUGAAGAGGGGCCCGCGUCUGAUUAGCUAGUUGGUGAGGUAACGGCUCACCAAGGCAACGAUCAGUAUCCGGCCUGAGAGGGCGGACGGACACACUGGGACUGAGACACGGCCCAGACUCCUACGGGAGGCAGCAGUGGGGAAUUGUUCGCAAUGGGCGCAAGCCUGACGACGCAACGCCGCGUGGAGGAUGAAGGUCUUCGGAUUGUAAACUCCUGUUGCCCGGGACGAAAUGCUUCGACCUAACACGUCGGAGUUUGACGGUACCGGGUGAGGAAGCCCCGGCUAACUCUGUGCUAGCCGCCGCGGUAAUAC
Molecule: ribosomal RNA, 538 nt
Filed under: uncultured bacterium
Lineage: Bacteria
Description: bacterial SSU rRNA
Rfam family: Bacterial small subunit ribosomal RNA
Source: RNAcentral